GGCCUCGUGGCCUAGAAGUAAGGCGUUGGUUUCCGGUUAAGGAUUCGCCAAAGAUCGCGAGUGCAAAUCUCGCCGUGGUCG
This is a transfer RNA of Schizosaccharomyces cryophilus OY26, 81 nucleotides long. It matches the Rfam family "tRNA". Rfam says of the family: Transfer RNA (tRNA) molecules are approximately 80 nucleotides in length. Their secondary structure includes four short double-helical elements and three loops (D, anti-codon, and T loops). Further hydrogen bonds mediate the characteristic L-shaped molecular structure. tRNAs have two regions of fundamental functional importance: the anti-codon, which is responsible for specific mRNA codon recognition, and the 3' end, to which the tRNAs corresponding amino acid is attached (by aminoacyl-tRNA synthetases). tRNAs cope with the degeneracy of the genetic code in two manners: having more than one tRNA (with a specific anti-codon) for a particular amino acid; and 'wobble' base-pairing, i.e. permitting non-standard base-pairing at the 3rd anti-codon position. NCBI's taxonomy places the organism in Eukaryota, Fungi, Ascomycota, Schizosaccharomycetes, Schizosaccharomycetales, Schizosaccharomycetaceae. The record is from Rfam.